CUAGAUUGGGUUAGCGAUAGCAUCUCUGUUUCACAGGUGCUCAAACAACAGUAUUAAUGUACAGUAGUAUUUUCCAAUACUACACACAUUCAACAUCUUUAAGGUAUCACAUUACCAUUCAACUGGAUCUGGAGUUAGUUCAAAUAGUUCACUAUUAGUGUAAUCAUGAGAGACCUAUUUCAGUAUGUAUGGUAUACCAUUGAGGGGAGAUUACUUUGUACACAGACCCUCAUUGAAGUUAGCCUGGUCCCAGGUCGGUUACUUUGUGCUGUCUUGCCAAUGUUUGGCAUGCCACGUGACAAACACACAUAGAAGUUGUCAAGGACCAAGCUGGGUGGAAGAGUAUAUCACAUAGGGUGAAAUACCUGGGUUUACUUGGUAUGUACACGGGUGGACAGCCAUGUUGGUUGGUGCUGACCAAGUGCUUUAAGAAGACAGACAGUUUAUUUACUUAGCCUGAGUGCCAGUCUGUUUCUGCUGUAUUGCCAAUGAAGGGAAGGGAAACGGGGGAUACAUAGUCAGUUGUACAAAUGAACGUCUUCAACUGAAAUGUCUCUCUGAAUCAGAGAGGUGCGGGGGGAGGGCUGCCUUAAUCGACAUCCACAUCUUCGGGUGCCCGGGGGAACAGUGUGACAAGGAGUUGGCAAUGGAGAACAAACAGAUUGGCACUCAAGUUUUAUUAUUUACUUAUUAUAGCCCAGAAAAUAUAUAUUCUUUCGAUGGUACUACCCAUAUACCUUAGUAAGGCUGGUAGAAUGAGGAAAUGAAAUGCUGUUGAAGGCUACUUCAGGCAGACACAAUGACAAUGCAAUUUAUAAUGCCAUUAUAUGGGAGAGCUAUGACAUGGGAGAGCUAUGACAUGGGAGAGCUAUGACAUGGGAGAGCUAUGACAUGGGAAAGCUAUGAUAUGGGAGAGCUAUGACAUGGGAGAGCUAUGACAUGGGAGAGCUAUGACAUGGGAGAGCU
Molecule: non-coding RNA, 966 nt
Organism: Salvelinus sp. IW2-2015
Lineage: Eukaryota; Metazoa; Chordata; Actinopteri; Salmoniformes; Salmonidae
Source: RefSeq, a predicted model, not a curated record